Molecule: ribosomal RNA, 253 nt
Filed under: uncultured bacterium
Lineage: Bacteria
Description: partial 16S ribosomal RNA
Rfam family: Bacterial small subunit ribosomal RNA
Source: RNAcentral
UACGGAGGGGGCUAGCGUUGUUCGGAAUUACUGGGCGUAAAGCGCACGUAGGCGGAUAUUUAGGUCAGGGGUGAAAUCCCGGGGCUCAACCCCGGAACUGCCUUUGAUACUGGGUAUCUGGAGGUCGAGAGAGGCGAGUGGAAUUCCGAGUGUAGAGGUGAAAUUCGUAGAUAUUCGGAGGAACACCAGUGGCGAAGGCGGCUCGCUGGCUCGAUACUGACGCUGAGGUGCGAAAGCGUGGGGAGCAAACAGG